RNAcentral lists this ribosomal RNA (119 nucleotides) under Arabis alpina (gray rockcress). RNAcentral describes it as "rRNA ENSRNAG00050208427". Lineage: Eukaryota; Viridiplantae; Streptophyta; Magnoliopsida; Brassicales; Brassicaceae. The record is from RNAcentral.
GGGGUGCAACACGAGGACUUCCCAGGAGGUCACCCAUCCUAGUACUACUCUCGCCCAAGCACGCUUAGCUGCGGAGUUCUGAUGGGAUCCGGUGCAUUAGUGCUGCUAUGAUCGCACCC